GGGCCCUUAGCUCAACGGUUAGAGCAGCGGACUCAUAAUCCGUUGGUUGUAGGUUCAAAUCCUACAGGGCCCACCA
Molecule: transfer RNA, 76 nt
Filed under: Bryobacterales bacterium
Lineage: Bacteria; Pseudomonadati; Acidobacteriota; Terriglobia; Bryobacterales
Also listed under: 1 other name
Description: tRNA-Ile
Rfam family: tRNA
About the family: Transfer RNA (tRNA) molecules are approximately 80 nucleotides in length. Their secondary structure includes four short double-helical elements and three loops (D, anti-codon, and T loops). Further hydrogen bonds mediate the characteristic L-shaped molecular structure. tRNAs have two regions of fundamental functional importance: the anti-codon, which is responsible for specific mRNA codon recognition, and the 3' end, to which the tRNAs corresponding amino acid is attached (by aminoacyl-tRNA synthetases). tRNAs cope with the degeneracy of the genetic code in two manners: having more than one tRNA (with a specific anti-codon) for a particular amino acid; and 'wobble' base-pairing, i.e. permitting non-standard base-pairing at the 3rd anti-codon position.
Source: RNAcentral